GUGCAAAUGAUGGAGAAAAAUCACUAUUUGUGAGGAAAAAAAAAAAUGACAUGAACAAAGGAACCACUGAUGCAC
This is a small nucleolar RNA of Bubalus bubalis (water buffalo), 75 nucleotides long. RefSeq annotates it as small nucleolar RNA SNORD42. The transcript has a single exon. The record is from RefSeq and is a predicted model, not a curated record. Lineage: Eukaryota; Metazoa; Chordata; Mammalia; Artiodactyla; Bovidae.